This 250-nucleotide long non-coding RNA is filed under the name Lathyrus oleraceus (garden pea). RNAcentral describes it as "Pisum sativum (pea) long non-coding RNA (PSAT_LNC023886)". Lineage: Eukaryota; Viridiplantae; Streptophyta; Magnoliopsida; Fabales; Fabaceae. The record is from RNAcentral.
UAGCUGCAGGCGCGUACUUCCUUCGAAUGCGUCGGAUCUCGGUCUCAAAAGAAGCCUUCAUCUGAGUCUUCUCGAGGACAAGCUGAUCAACAAUCUUCUUCCAAGCGACGGAAAGCUGAGGCAUACUAGAGGAAGAUGAAACCUUCGGCUCUCUAUGUCUCUUUGUCACUCGGUCUUCAAGUAGCUCAAUAAGUACAUAUUUGUCCUUAGACUCAAGCUGCAACUCAUCAUGCUUUCGGCUCAAAGCAUG